Molecule: long non-coding RNA, 2908 nt
Organism: Equus asinus (donkey)
Lineage: Eukaryota; Metazoa; Chordata; Mammalia; Perissodactyla; Equidae
Source: Ensembl
CCUAUCUCACCCUCCCCGCGGCCUUGCUGCAAGCAGCCUCUCAAGGCCAAACCAGGCUGGUGGGAAAACGCCAGCCUGCACAGCUACAUGCGCCCCCUCCCCUACCCAAAACCCCCAAUAAAAAUCCCUACCCAUUCCUCAUGGGGAGCUAGCAAUUUUUGAGGCAUGAGCCCUUGCUUUGCUCCCUGUGCCUGGCAUAGUAAAAACCUUUCCUCUUCCACUCAAGACUCUGUUCUCGUUAUUUGGAUUGGCGACGGGUUCAGAGACCGAACUUUCGGUUACAAAUUUGGCGACCCAGAUGGGACCCGUGGGUGGUCCCCACUGAGACCCCCUUGGCUUGAUCGGAUGCUCCAGAGUCGUACUCCGUGCCUGCCCCAACAGGGGAAGUGGAGGGUUGGAGGAAGACUCAGGGAGGCCAGAUCGCCGAGGGCCGGUGCUUAGGAGCGCCAGGGACAGCUGGAGGGGCCGCUCCAGCAGCUGCCAAAACCCAUUUUGCUUUGGGAGUCUUCCCUCCUGCCUCCUCCCAGGGCGACUGUUCGGACCUCUUGUUACCAGGGAAACUAUCUUGAGGAAAAGGAAAGUGUAUUUGAUUGAAGUCGCCGCGACGCCCCGGCCAAAUUUUGGGCCGUGGUGCUGAGGCGACGCUGCUCAAGGUGGAUCCGGAGCCCCGCGGCUUCGGAAGCUGAGACACCUAUCGCGAGGGGAGAACCUGGCGCUCCCCCGCUCCGACGCAAGGCGACCCGCCGCCGCAGCCCCGGAAGCGCAUCCUCGGCUUCGCUGGCCUUCCUGUUCCCAGCAGCGCCCGGCUCCGGGCGUUUCUUCGCUCUCUCACGGUCCGCGCCCGCCCUGCCCCAGCCGAGGGCACCCGCGCGGCCAGGGCCGCAGCUGGGAGCCCCGCGCCUCUCGGACGGCCGCGCGACUCGGUGACCACCUCGGAGGCCUCAGUAAAUCUUUCUAGGAGCAGUGUGAGGAGGACAGACGAGCCCUCUGGACUGGCAAGGCCACCGGCCAAGUACUGCUGCCACCAUGCCCAAGAGAAAGGCAAAAGGAGAUGCUAAAGGUGACAAAGCAAAGGUGAAGGAUGAGCCACAGAGGAGAUCAGCACGGUUGUCCGCUAAACCUGCCCCCCCAAAACCAGAGCCCAGGCCUAAAAAGGCCCCUGCAAAGAAGGGAGAGAAGCUGCCCAAAGGGAGAAAGGGGAAAGCAGAUAGUGGCAAGGAUGGGAACAACCCUGCGAAAAACCGAGAUGCCGCCACAGUCCAGUCACAGAAAGCGGAAGGCAGCGGGGAUGCCAAGUGAAGUGUGCUAUUUUGAUAGCUCUGUACUUCUAGUGACUCUGCUGUUUGAAAUACUGUUUUUUUUCAAAUCAACUUUUAUAAAAAUGUAGAAUUUUGUUUUUCUUUUUAAGUUAUAUUGUUAGCACACAGGACACUUAGUUGUCUUUUGUGGAAAGGGCAAAUACCACUAACAGAGUGUUUCAGAAGCUGGAUUAAAAUGGAGGAAAAUAGUAUUUUCUGUCCUCAUUUUUGAAGAUUAUUCUUGGUCCCCGGGAGAGAUUCUCUGACAUUCACACACGAGUCAGUCACUUUGGCUCAGACGCCUUACAGUGUGUGGAAGCAAAACUUCAUGUCUUUGCCUUUCCUGAUACCAUCAGCAUAUAUUUGACUUUCUGAACCCAAGAGUUAUGGUUUCAGAAAACCAGCAUCCCUAAAAUCAGCUGUGUUGGGUAAUAAUCCUCAGGCCUUCUGAUGAAGACAUCGACAUGGUGUUGCUCAAAAGAGCCAAGAUUCCUGUUUGCAAUUUGUGGAUCAUCCCAUUGAUAAUCCUGGAGUUUGUAGUUUUCUCCAAGUCAGAAAUGACCUGUGAAAAGCUCUUACAUGCCUCAUGUGAAAUAUCCACCCCUUCUGACAACUUUGCCUGUUCAAAGCAGGAACAGAAGACUUUGUUGACUUUUUGGGGAGGGGUGUUUGGAAGUUGUAAAAUGUUAUGGAUUGUCACCUAUGUCCUGCUGGAAAUAACUGUUUUUGAAAAGUAUCUUAUGGAGCUGUAUACAAGUUGGCUUGGUGGAAGGGGGGGAUCAUUUCCUACCCAAAGUCAUAAAGAUAUUCUUUACUGCCUUGUAAAAGUUUUACAGUUUUGCUUUUCAUACGUCUUUAGUCUUUAGAACUGGUUUUUGUGAAAAGUAUGAGAUAGAAGUUCAAUAUAAUAUAUUUUCCAUAUAGAUAAGUGGUUGUUGCAGCACCAUUUUCUGAAAAGUUCAUCCUUUCCUCACUGACCUGUAACACUGUCUCUUUCAUAAAUCAAGUUUGUGUGUUUGUGUGGGUCUCUUGAUGGUUUCUGUUCUGACUCACUGGUCAAUUUGUCUAACCUGUGGCAGUACUAUACAAUCCUGAGUAUGACAACUUUAGAAAAAGGUCUUGAUAUCUCAGGACAAAUCCCACCUCCACCUCCAACAUCAUCACCAAAUUUUUCUUCCUUGAGAGUAUCUUGGCUAUUUUUAGCCAUUUGCUUUUCCAUACAAUUUCUAGAAUUAGAUUGAGAAGUUCUAAAUCAAACAAAAAAAAUGUUGGAAUUUUUAUUAGAUUUAUGGAUUAAUUACAGUGUUGAAUCUUCCAAUCCAUGAACAUGGUAUAGCAUUUAUUUAGGCUUUUUAAAUGUCUUUCAAUAAAGUUUUAUAAUUUUCUCCAUAAAUGUCUUCUUUUGUUAAUAUUUCCUGGGGACUUUAUACCUUUUGAUGCUCUUUUAUGUGGUAUAUUUUAGUUACUACAUUUUCUGGUUUUAGCUAAAGUUGAUUUUUGUAUCCAGCAACCUUGCUAAACUCUCAAUUCUUAUAUGUCUGUAUACUUCUUUGGGUUUUCUGCCUAGAUAACCAUAUAUUCUGUGUAUGCAAACAAUUUUUUUUCCUCAC